UUCUCCAUUCCAUCUUCUUAUGCAUGCACAGUUUUAUUGAUGAACAUAUCUGUGUGUGUGUUUGAGUGUUAUUAGUUUACGUAUUUUGUAUGUGUUUAUGUGAUGGAAUGGUUGUGGUCCUUGUGGGAUGGUAAUUUUGCUAAUAAUGUGAAUGGAAUGGAUGUAGGAUGGUAAUUUGGCUAAUAAUGUGAAUUUAUCGUUUUAAAUGUUUUUGUACUUCAAAGAUUGAAAAUUAUUUGAUGGUUUACUAUAGGUAACAAUAUUGAGGGGUGUGCUGUUGGUUUUUCUUCUUGUUAUAUUUUUAUUGUGAAUUGGGAUGAAUGACGCAUUUUGGUACAGUGUGGAAGUGAAUAAUAUUGUGUGUUAUUAUACGAUAUAGAAUGGUUUUGGAUUGGUAAUAUGGUUAAUGGUGUGUGAAUUUGAAAGGGUUGUGGAUUGGUAGCAUUACAUAGACCAAUAAAAGAUUAAUCUUGUAAUAGCGAACAUGAUAGAGCAAAAUGGUCUAAGUGGCCUUCUUUACUGUGGUUUAGUUGCUCCAGCAUUAUUGUUAAUCCUUGUCAGUAUUUAUGUCCUAUUUGUAGAUGCAAGAGAGAGUGAAAAAGAAGAAGCUUUGUUGGGUUUUAUUAUUUGUACAAAUAACAAUGAUGAAUAAAAGUUUUAAGUCUUACAACAAAUGAAACAGAACAUAGACAGAUAAAAGACUAGUCUUAGAAUAGUUAAUGAGUUGAACAAAAUGGACAAUUUUCUAAUAGACAUUUUCUCCCUUUGGCUUAAGAUGCACCCUCAUCAUUUUUGCUCUUUGUUUAAUAUGGUUAUUUACUUGAUAUGAGUAGUUGAUUGAUGUCGCUUUCUUUUUCAAAAUUUUUAUUUCAAUAAAAAAAUUUCCUUGUAAAUUGUGGUAUAUAAAGUAUAUUUAUAUCUUGUUAUUUGAAAUUGACCAUGCAGUAGUAUCAACGGAGUUGGCUUACCACAACUUAUAGUGAAAUAGUGAUUUGAAUUUAAAAUUCUUAUGGUAAUUGCGAACUUAUCACUACCGUCGACAAAUUGAAUGAAAUAGAAUUAUCUACUUAACACUAACCGUCUUCUUCUUCCACCCAAAAAAAAAAAAAAAGUUAUGUUCUUGGUUAAU
Molecule: long non-coding RNA, 1129 nt
Organism: Quercus robur (English oak)
Lineage: Eukaryota; Viridiplantae; Streptophyta; Magnoliopsida; Fagales; Fagaceae
Exons: 2
Source: RefSeq, a predicted model, not a curated record